RNAcentral lists this ribosomal RNA (345 nucleotides) under uncultured soil bacterium. RNAcentral describes it as "bacterial SSU rRNA". It matches the Rfam family "Bacterial small subunit ribosomal RNA", at positions 26 to 378 of the family's 1533-position model. The record is from RNAcentral.
AGAUUGAACGCUGGCGGCAUGCCUAACACAUGCAAGUCGAACGGGAGUAGCAAUACUCUAGUGGCGGACGGGUGAGGAAUACGUAGGAAUUUGCCCUUAAGUGGGGGAUAACCCGGGGAAACCCGGAUUAAUACCGCAUGACCUCGAAAGAGCAAAGUGGGGGAUCGCAAGACCUCACGCUUUUGGAGAAGCCUACGUCGGAUUAGCUAGUUGGUGAGGUAAUGGCUCACCAAGGCGACGAUCCGUAACUGGUCUGAGAGGAAGAUCAGUCACACCGGAACUGAGACACGGUCCGGACUCCGUACGGGAGGCAGCAGGUGGGGAAUUAGUUGGACAAGUGGGCGC